RNAcentral lists this ribosomal RNA (253 nucleotides) under Phocaeicola plebeius DSM 17135. RNAcentral's name for it is "partial 16S ribosomal RNA". It matches the Rfam family "Bacterial small subunit ribosomal RNA", at positions 524 to 776 of the family's 1533-position model. Lineage: Bacteria; Pseudomonadati; Bacteroidota; Bacteroidia; Bacteroidales; Bacteroidaceae. The record is from RNAcentral. RNAcentral also lists the same sequence under 2 other names.
UACGGAGGAUGCGAGCGUUAUCCGGAUUUAUUGGGUUUAAAGGGAGCGCAGACGGGUCGUUAAGUCAGCUGUGAAAGUUUGGGGCUCAACCUUAAAAUUGCAGUUGAUACUGGCGUCCUUGAGUGCGGUUGAGGUGUGCGGAAUUCGUGGUGUAGCGGUGAAAUGCUUAGAUAUCACGAAGAACUCCGAUUGCGAAGGCAGCACACUAAGCCGUAACUGACGUUCAUGCUCGAAAGUGUGGGUAUCAAACAGG